UUGAAAGGGAAACGAUUGAAGUCAGUCGUACCAGCGGGAAAUCAACCUUUCGAGUGGGGGUUUUGGAGUUUUGAAGAGUGUCAAAACCUUUGAGAUUUCAAAAUAUUCGCUCUUUUGGUGUACUUUCUCGUGGGUAGGUUAACAUCGAUUUUGAUCAUCAUAAAAAGAUUGGAGGAAUGUAGCUUCGAUCUUGUAUUGAAGUGUUAUAGCCUUCGGUAGAUGUGAUGAUCGAGAUUGAGGAUUGCAACGGAUUCCUUCGGGGCUGCCUGUCUGAUCUCUGAUCGUUGCUCUGGUGCCGAAAGCUUGCUUACGGUUAUCAAAGUCGAUGGUCAAUAGGUUAGAAUGGGUUAAAUUCGUUAAGGAUGUUGACGUA
RNAcentral lists this ribosomal RNA (373 nucleotides) under uncultured Glomeromycotina. RNAcentral describes it as "LSU rRNA". Lineage: Eukaryota; Fungi; Glomeromycota. The record is from RNAcentral.